GACGAACGCUGGCGGCGUGCUUAACACAUGCAAGUCGAACGGAAAGGCCCUGCUUUUGUGGGGUGCUCGAGUGGCUAACGGGUGAGUAAGACGUGAGUAACCUGCCCUUGACUUUGGGAUAACUUCAGGAAACUGGGGCUAAUACCGGAUAGGAGCUCCUGCUGCAUGGUGGGGGUUGGGAGGUGUCGGCCGUUGGGGAUGGAGUCGGGGCUUAUCAGCUUGUUGGUGGGGUAGUGGCUUACCAAGGCUUUGACGGGUAGCCGGCCUGAGAGGGUGACCGGCCACAUUGGGACUGAGAUACGGCCCAGACGCCUACGGGAGGCAGCAGUGGGGAAUAUUGCACAAUGGGCGGAAGCCUGAUGCAGCAACGCCGCGUGCGGGAUGACGGCCUUCGGGUUGUAAACCGCUUUCGCCUGUGACGAAGCGUGAGUGACGGUAAUGGGUAAAGAAGCACCGGCUAACUACGUG
RNAcentral lists this ribosomal RNA (468 nucleotides) under uncultured bacterium. RNAcentral describes it as "partial 16S ribosomal RNA". It matches the Rfam family "Bacterial small subunit ribosomal RNA", at positions 28 to 507 of the family's 1533-position model. The record is from RNAcentral.